Molecule: transfer RNA, 57 nt
Filed under: Loxodonta africana (African savanna elephant)
Lineage: Eukaryota; Metazoa; Chordata; Mammalia; Proboscidea; Elephantidae
Rfam family: tRNA
About the family: Transfer RNA (tRNA) molecules are approximately 80 nucleotides in length.
Source: Rfam by way of RNAcentral
AUGCAAAUGGUUAACAUGCUUGGCUGCUAACCAAAAGAUUGGGGGUUUGAGUCCCCC